Molecule: ribosomal RNA, 497 nt
Filed under: uncultured bacterium
Lineage: Bacteria
Description: partial 16S ribosomal RNA
Rfam family: Bacterial small subunit ribosomal RNA
Source: RNAcentral
GAUGAACGCUGGCGGCGCGCCUAAUACAUGCAAGUCGAGCGAACAGAUGAGGAGCUUGCUCCUCUGACGUUAGCGGCGGACGGGUGAGUAACACGCGGAUAACCUACCUAUAAGACUGGGAUAACUUCGGGAAACCGGAGCUAAUACCGGAUAAUAUAUUGAACCGCAUGGUUCAAUAGUGAAAGACGGUUUUGCUGUCACUUAUAGAUGGAUCCGCGCCGCAUUAGCUAGUUGGUAAGGUAACGGCUUACCAAGGCAACGAUGCGUAGCCGACCUGAGAGGGUGAUCGGCCACACUGGAACUGAGACACGGUCCAGACUCCUACGGGAGGCAGCAGUAGGGAAUCUUCCGCAAUGGGCGAAAGCCUGACGGAGCAACGCCGCGUGAGUGAUGAAGGUCUUCGGAUCGUAAAACUCUGUUAUUAGGGAAGAACAAAUGUGUAAGUAACUAUGCACGUCUUGACGGUACCUAAUCAGAAAGCCACGGCUAACUACGUG